Long non-coding RNA from Numida meleagris (helmeted guineafowl), 3029 nucleotides. RefSeq lists it as uncharacterized. The record is from RefSeq and is a predicted model, not a curated record. The transcript has 2 exons. Lineage: Eukaryota; Metazoa; Chordata; Aves; Galliformes; Numididae.
UAUGGAAAGGGCACAUCCUAAAAGGGUUUCCUUCUGUUGUUAGGAUAUGAAGUGCUAUUCAUUCCCUUACUUGGCUCUUUAAUAGAAGCCAAGUACCAGGAAGAAUGUUUGCAAAUGCCUCCACAAAAAUCAAGGAUGACUUUGCAAAUCAUUUGCACGAGAAAUCAUCUAGGUGAAAAAUGUUGUCCUCUUCAUAAUUACGUCACAUGUAAAGAAACAGACAGGGCUCCUGGGAGUUUCUGCAUACUUAAAUGACACCUGAAGCUACACAGAACUGUGUUGGGCCAAGGCUGAUAUUUUGGAAACUAUAUUGUGUGCUGUACUCAAAUAUUUAAGUUUUCUUAAACAGAAAAGCUAUCCUGAGGAAGAAAGAACGUGCCAAAGCCAGACCCUCCCCCCAGCUUGUGCCUGAGCAGGGAUGGACAAAGAAAAGAAAAUGUCAUUUCAGCUCUUCCCACCCCACAAAAAUGAGCAGUGUGUGGGGAAAAGACCCGAGGAAAAUCAAGUGAUAGUGGGUGACAAAAAAGGAUGCAGUGGAAGAGGGCAAAGAAUCAAAAAUAUUAAACAAGAAGUGGAAGAACAGAGAAAAGAAAGCUUGCUGGGGUUGCUGAGUUCAUAGGAAAGAGGUGCCCUCCAAGAGCCAAGGAUUUCACCUUAGUCUCUGCAGCUGGUUAAACUCGAGGACUUUUCUGCACACUACAUCAAGGGACUGCCUCCUUGCAAGCAUCAGCACCAAGGAGUGGCUUUAAAAUGAAGAAGAAACCAAAAAUCCCACAAUUUUUCAGUAUUGCGGGCACUGCAGAAUGCAGAAGGCUGAGUCCCAAGGCAUGCCAUGCUCUUCAUACCCUGGACAUUCUGCUCUGACAGCUGGGAAUAUGUUCUGAUCCAUGGUCCCACCAUGUUCCACUCAUCCAGAGACCCAUUGCUCCAGAUUCCAGAGAGCAGUGUUCACUUCACUGUUGCUAGAAAGCUCUUACUCACCUAGCUCUCCUGCUGGAGCUGUUCCAUCCCCACUUGAACUGCACAUGCCCUUGUACUCUGCCUGGCUCAGCACUUCUCUGGACACAAAGGGAGCCAUAGGAGCUGUAUUUUCCUUUUCCGUUCCAAGCUCCUGACUUUGGGGCAGCAGCUUUCUGCAUUAUUUAUGAUGUCUCAGUGCGAAGGCCAGUAAUAAUGGAGGCUUGGAUUCCAAGAAAACAUUUUUUUUUUCCCGAACCAAAACAUGCACAAUACUAAUACCUAGAAAGACAGCAUUUGAUACUACAGACAAUUAAUCUUUAUGGUAUCUGGUAUAUAUAAAUACCUUACUUCUUCUUCCUCUGCAGUCUUUGUCCUCCAUAGCAAUGCAAAGUAGUGCAAGAAAUCAGCUAAAUGUUGCAUACAUUCCUUAUUGUGGGUGGGGUUACACAUUUGUAAAGCCUCAAUGAACAGCCAUUGAAUUAUGUGUGAUUAUGAAUAUUUCAUACUCUUUUUUUUCCCCUAAAAUCUGUAGCUUCAUCGACCCCACUGUGGUCAAGGUUUUCUCAGAACAAGUGUGCUCAGCUGACUGAAAAGCUUUGAGGCAGUGCAUUUGUUACAUUUGCUUUUCUGCGCAUUGUCAAACAUGCACCAUUAUUUGCAUGUGUUUCAAACCUGUUCUGAACAAAGAACGGCUGACUUUGAAACAUAAUCACCCUUUUACUUUUGGUGAGCAACAGUAGAACAAUGGGCAGCAGGGAGAAACUGGAACACGGGAAGUUCCAUACUAAUACAAGGAACAACUUCUUCACUGUCAGAGUGACAGAGCCCUGGAACAGACAGCCCAGAGAGACUGUGGUGUCUCCUUGUCUAGAGAUAUUCAAAACCCACCUGGGUGACCUGCUGUAGGAAACCUGCUUUAGCAGGGGGUGGGGACUGGAUGAUCUCCAGAGGUCUCUUCCAACCCCUAUGGUUCUGUGAAUCUGUGAUUUUACAAGCCAGAAACCAAGACAAAAACAUUGACAUAAUGCGUAACUGGGAUGUUCACCUGGAGUUUCUGCAGUUUUUUUCUUUUUAAAGAAUAUUUCUUACUACAUGUUGUUUGCAUUUCAGCCCAAGCCCAGUUUUGGUACAGCUAAAAGAUCUCAACCCAUUUUUCAGAUCAGCCUCCCUGCUGCACACGCAGUCGUGCUCAGACAGCUAAUUGUGGUGGAGGAGAAAAGAACCAGAAGCAGAACUUUCUUAAGCUGCUAUAGGGAACCCUGGUCUGGGACCCUUUAAAAUUAAACAGCUCUCCACCGAUCACAGACAGCGCAAUGUUUUUCACCCAAAGGUCUCUAGGGCUAUGUCUACAGCACUAGAAAAAACAUGGCCUGGCAAGGAGCCUAAGCACCGAGCUGCUAAUUGCUGAUUAUGCUUAAUUGUAAGCAUGUGUCCUGGAAAAGCUUUGGCUCAUGUCAACCAGCGCUGUCCCAGACAGUACCCAGAUCAGGAGAAGGCAUAUGCUGGAGCCCAUUCCAGAGGUAUUACGAAUCAGGCAAAGGCCACAUCAGCCUCCCUCUCUUCCCUCUCCCUUGCCCAGCAUUCUCUCCUUUUGCCACCCUCACACUCUCCAGGGCAUGUCACGUAACAAAUGUUAGCUCUGUCCUAGAAGCAACCAACUGCUUUGCCUGAAACUUCUCAGUUUGAAACAGAUACGCACACAUGAACAUUAUGAGGAAUAUCCCCCACAGGAACCAAUCAUCUCACUAUUUGUAGUUUAUGAAAGCCAAGCCCUAUGUUUGCUAGAGAUGCCUGUAGCUUUACAGCAAAUUAGGUGGGGUGUUUUGUGUAUGGUGUUUUUUUAAGAUCUCUCCAUUUCAUUAUGUCGAAGCAGGAAGUACACUUCAUUUAAGUGCUCUCACUCUGGAGCUGUUUCAUGGGAAGAAACCUUCCUUCUUUUUCUCUGUUUAGGCUUAAGGUUUAUGAAGCCAAUGUAAACAGCCAAAAUGAGCCUAAGUGCCAGAGCUUAACUUAGGAGGUUUGAAAAGAACAGGGCUUGCCUUAAUAAAAUGAAACAAUUAGUUUGUAGA